GCUGUAGCUUAGUGGUACAGCAUUUGCCUUGCAUCCAAAAGGUCCCAGGUUCAAUCCCCAGCAUCUCCA
Non-coding RNA from Podarcis lilfordi (Lilford's wall lizard), 69 nucleotides. Lineage: Eukaryota; Metazoa; Chordata; Lepidosauria; Squamata; Lacertidae. The record is from the annotation of a GenBank genome assembly.